RNAcentral lists this ribosomal RNA (370 nucleotides) under uncultured organism. Its description in RNAcentral is "bacterial SSU rRNA". It matches the Rfam family "Bacterial small subunit ribosomal RNA", at positions 526 to 896 of the family's 1533-position model. The record is from RNAcentral.
CGAACUGUGCGAACGUUAUUCGGAAUCACUGGGCUUGCAGGGUGCGUAGGCGGCUUUUCAAGUCAGGUGUGAAAGCCCCCGGCUCAACCGGGGAAUUGCGCUUGAAACUGGAGAGCUCGAGUCAGCUAGAGGUGCACGGAACUUCCAGUGGAGCGGUGAAAUGUGUUGAUAUUGGAAGGAACACCAGAGGCGUAAGCGGUGCACUGGGGCUGGUCUGACGCUGAGGCACGAAAGCCAGGGGAGCGAACGGGAUUAGAUACCCCGGUAGUCCUGGCCGUAAACGAUGAGUGCUGGACGGGAGGAGGUUCGCCUUCUCCGGUCGGAGCGAAAGCGGGAAGCACUCCGCCUGGGGAGUAUGGUCGCAAGGCUG